GGGCAGUGGCUUCAUGGAGAAGCAGUUGCUGCUGGAACGGUCAUGGCUGUUGACAUGUCACGCCGUCUUGGUUGGAUUGAUGACUCACUGGUACAGCGGGUGCAGAAGAUCUUACAACAGGCAAAGCUGCCGACUUCACCUCCUGAAACUAUGACUGUGGAGAUGUUCAAGUCUAUCAUGGCUGUUGAUAAAAAAGUGGCAGAUGGGAAACUAAGACUUAUCCUUCUAAAAGGUUCACUUGGUAACUGUGUUUUUACCGGUGAUUAUGACCAGAAGGCCCUCGAUGAAACACUCCGUGCAUUUUCCAAAUCUUAAGCAAUUGGAGUUGUUACAUAGAAGCAAUUGUUCGACAAAAAUACAAGUUUUAUGAUCUGCUAAAACCAUUAGUCCAAUUCUGAAAAGGUUGGUCAAGGUUGUAGGCAGCUCUGUUAGCGCUUGGAGGUAUGCUUAUGCCCUCUGUGAAAUACAAGAUGCCUUUUUGCUAGUUCUUACCCUUUGGUUAGUGUAAUAUUUCUUGAGCUUUCAAAUAUUUGUAUACAGCAUUUCUGUGUGUAUUUUUCCGCUGUCAAAUCUUCUUUAUACUUGUAGCCUAACAGUGGAGCCCCAUCAUCUGCUAAUAAUAUUCAUAAUGGA
Molecule: unclassified non-coding RNA, 633 nt
Filed under: Hevea brasiliensis (rubber tree)
Lineage: Eukaryota; Viridiplantae; Streptophyta; Magnoliopsida; Malpighiales; Euphorbiaceae
Source: RNAcentral